AACAAGGCGGUAUUGCAUGGCUGAGGGCGAUGCCCGGCAACGGGUCGAACCAAGUCGCAUGGUCCUCUGUGGUGGGCGAGCGGUGUGCUACACGUCGCGUCAGCUCGACCGAACUUCGCGCUGAAAGGCGGGAACGCAGAGGGAAUCGCUCGUAAUCUUCGACAGCACGCGAAGGUGAACUUUAGCCGAGGUCGAGUGCACACACUGCCCGUCACAUCCAGGAAGAAGCACAAGCCUUAAGGUUCCUGCGGCUUUGAAUGCCGGGGGAGUCGACCGCGGCGUUUCGACAGGGAUGAAGUCGUAACAAGGUUUGUGCAGGGGAACCUGCGCAAGAAGAUGC
Molecule: ribosomal RNA, 340 nt
Filed under: Polytomella capuana
Lineage: Eukaryota; Viridiplantae; Chlorophyta; Chlorophyceae; Chlamydomonadales; Chlamydomonadaceae
Description: small subunit ribosomal RNA
Rfam family: Bacterial small subunit ribosomal RNA
Source: RNAcentral